CGUAAACGCUCACUCUCACCCACCCCCUUCCCCCAACAUCCCGUAAGUGAAAUUCAGAAUUGAAAAGCAAAGCUUGCAAGUUCAAAAAUUAGGGUUCUGGGUCUUGUCGCGCCGUCCGUUGUUCUCGGCGCUUCCGCGGCCUCCUCCUUCCCCCUGUCUCGAACCCAGCCACUCUCUUGUAGCUCGGCACGUCAUCUGGUUGAGGGUUGGAGCUACUUGCCGUCUGUUCGUCGUCGUCGUCCCCCCGGUCGCCGUCGUCUGUUCGUCGCUCUGCUCUUUGUCGGAGUGGUGAAGUGGAGAAGAAGGAAUAACAGUGGUCGUCAUCUGGUGGCCGUUCUGCUUGCCGUUGUCUACUCGCUGUCGCGCUCAACUGCUCAGAUCGAAGGUCGGUGUACAUUGCUAGUGCUUGUUCUUCUUUUUUAUGCUCUAUUCAGAAGUGAGAACGAAGGGUUUAGGAUUUUACUACUGUUAAUGCUAUUGUUGAAUGAUUGACUCUGCUGCUACUGCUGGGCUGUAUUCUAUUUGGUUGUUUUUUUAUGCUGUACUGAAAAAAAUUAUGCUUAAACUUUGAUAAUUUUUUGUUAAUUUAUGUUAAAAUUUUGAUCAAUCUGCUGUCUGCUGAAAAUGUUACUAAUCUUUGUUAAAAUUAUGGUAAGGUGUGAGCUUUUAUUUGUUCAAUGUAAUCACUUUGUUAAAAUGAUACUAAAGCAUGAGCUUUUAUCU
Non-coding RNA from Arachis ipaensis, 723 nucleotides. Lineage: Eukaryota; Viridiplantae; Streptophyta; Magnoliopsida; Fabales; Fabaceae. The record is from RefSeq and is a predicted model, not a curated record.